UGGGGAAUAUUGGACAAUGGGGGGAACCCUGAUCCAGCCAUGCCGCGUGUGUGAAGAAGGCCUUAUGGUUGUAAAGCACUUUAAGCGAGGAGGAGGGUACUGGUAUUAAUACUACCAGGUACUGGACGUUACUCGCAGAAUAAGCACCGGCGAACUCUGUGCCAGCAGCCGCGGUAAUACAGAGGGUGCGAGCGUUAAUCGGAUUUACUGGGCGUAAAGCGUGCGUAGGCGGCUAAUUGAGUCGGAUGUGAAAUCCCCGAGCUUAACUUGGGAAUUGCAUUCGAUACUGGUUAGCUAGAGUGUGGGAGAGGAUGGUAGAAUUCCAGGUGUAGCGGUGAAAUGCGUAGAGAUCUGGAGGAAUACCGAUGGCGAAGGCAGCCAUCUGGCCUAACACUGACGCUGAGGUACGAAAGCAUGGGGAGCAAACAGG
RNAcentral lists this ribosomal RNA (430 nucleotides) under Pseudomonadota bacterium. RNAcentral's name for it is "Proteobacteria bacterium partial 16S ribosomal RNA". It matches the Rfam family "Bacterial small subunit ribosomal RNA", at positions 355 to 776 of the family's 1533-position model. The record is from RNAcentral. Lineage: Bacteria; Pseudomonadati; Pseudomonadota.